Long non-coding RNA from Olea europaea var. sylvestris, 1219 nucleotides. RefSeq lists it as uncharacterized. The transcript has 2 exons. Lineage: Eukaryota; Viridiplantae; Streptophyta; Magnoliopsida; Lamiales; Oleaceae. The record is from RefSeq and is a predicted model, not a curated record.
GCUUAUUUGAGCCCGAUUUUUUCAUCCAAAAAAUUAAUUUUUUGACCGUUAUUUCACUAUUUCAGUUGUCAUAUUUGACUUCUUCUCUCACAGGUGAACCCCACUUUUCUUCUAACGGUCAAAAAAUCAAUUCUCAAAAUCACUCCCAAACAGGUUCUUAUACAUGCACGGUACAAAGCUGAAGCAAGGAAAUAGUUUGGAUCGUGAUUAUGGGUUUUCACCUUUCAAAAAAAUAUUUAUUCAAUCUUACAAGAUAGUAUUACGAGGUGCAAGUGGAUUGAAUGGGUCGUUGGUUGGCGGGGUGAUGAGAUGCAGUCGUGGUGCCAAUAUAUUUGAAAAUAAAUUAAAUCCGGUGUAGUGUAAUUAUAAAUUUUAUUUCCAGUUUCUACUCUAGUUGUGUCUAUUAAUGAGUCGAUAUCUUGAUUAUAGAAUGCGAUAUGAAUUAAAAUUUACUUUUUUUUUUUUUUUUGAAUUGCUCGUUUUAAAAAAAAUAAACUUCUUGGUGACAACUCAAAUUUAUUUUAUUGUAAAUUUUGGGUCGUUAUAGAAGAGUGUAGCAGUAUAGAUGGUAAAAGAAAAGCAGAAUUGGUUAAAUCACUGCAUGAAAAGUUAAGGUUGCAGAUUGAAAACAAAAGUAAACUUGUUGCAUCGCAGGCAAACAAAUGUAGGAAAAGGGUAAUAUUCGAACCUGGAGAUUGGGUUUGGUUACAUUUCAGAAAGAAACGCUUUCUAGAGCAAAGAAAGACAAAAUUACAACCACGGGGAGAAGUCAAUUUCAAGUUAUUGAGAAGAUCAACGACAAUACUUACUUGUUGGACUUACCAAGUGAGUAUAAUGUUUCGACAACUUUUAAUGUAGAUCCUUUGAAGAGGAAGAGGAUGAUGUGAUCCAAAAGCCAAGCUUGAAGACGGCAAAUUCGAGACGAGACCCAUUGGUAAUCGAAGGCGGACCGAUGACGCGAUCGAGGGCAAAGCAAGUGAAACAAGAGAUGAGAUACUAGUUCAAUCAACCAUUAAUGGAUGAUGUUCGGGACGCAAAAUGAGGCAGCUUUCAUGUUCGGGUCGAGAGUCGAGUCGAAGUGGAUCGAUUGGAUUUUAUAAUUUCAUUGCUUUUAAAACUUAUAUUCUAUAUUUAGUAUAAAUAUAAGUUCAUUUCCCACAUUGUAUUUUACCUUACAUUAUUUGAAAAUUUUAAUAAGAGAGGCAAAUUGCUUUCUUUA